Molecule: long non-coding RNA, 10462 nt
Filed under: Homo sapiens (human)
Lineage: Eukaryota; Metazoa; Chordata; Mammalia; Primates; Hominidae
Description: non-protein coding lnc-ART1-6:1
Source: RNAcentral
GGGGUUUCCACUUUUGCUUUCUCCUCAUUUUUCUCUUGCCGCCACCACGAAAGAAGUGCCUUUUGCCUCCCGUCAUGAUUCUGAGGCCUCCCCAGCCAUGUGGAACUAAACAACCUCUUACUCUGAAAUCAAGUGACUUAAAGAUACAUCUGCUGAGAAGACUUUUUUUCUGCAGCAAUUUAUCCGAACAGCUAAGUACAUCUUGGAGGUGUCCGUUGAUUUUUAAUAAGGAAGAGCUAUUUUUCAAGCUCCUAUGUGGCAAAUCCCAUCAGUAUGCAUGGAAACCAGCUACAGGAACAAUGAUCCUCCAGCUACCUCACAGGGCUGGCACAGGGGGUCACUGCCUUGUGGAUUGCCCAGCUGUGUCGGGCAACCUGGACCCUAUCUGUGGGGAUGUAAAGAGGAAAAUACAAAAGUCUCCAUGAGGGCACUGGGAAGAUAGUGGCACUGUGGCCUCGUUGUGGCUCUGAAAAUGAAGAUUUGGAAGGAGUUCAUCACAGCUAAUGUUUAACAAGACCCUACUGUAUGCCAAAUCAUUCACCCCUUGCAACAACUUAAUAAGCUAGGGAUUCGUAUUAGAUAUAUUUUACAGAAAAGGAAACAGAGACAUAAAGAGGUGAAUGAACUUGCCCAGAUGGCACAGCUAAUAAGUGGUGGAGGCAGAACAGAAUCUACACAGUGUGGCUCUGGAGCCCACAUUCAUUGAUUCCGCAAGUGUUUAUUGAGCACCUGCCAUGUACAAGGUUUGAGGCACAGAGCUGUAUAUACAAUAACAGUGAAAUUGAUCCCACUACUAAUUAUGACAAAAAUGAUCUUCCACGUAAACAGGUUAGAUGUUUUCUAGUGAGCCUCUGUUCCCAUUCUACAGGUGGUGAAGCUCCUUAUGGUCCUGACCCUACAGUUCCUGUCCCAUGACCAGGGCCAGAUCACCAAGGAGCUGCAGCAGUUCGUCGUCAGUGGCAGCCCCAUGCGAGCACCCGAGGAAGUACACUGGUGACAUGAUGCUAUAUUCUUGGGCAAGUACGUGGGUGAUAUAUUCCUGUAUUCUUGGACAAGUACACUGGUGACAUGUAGCUGUAUUCAGAGCCCUGGAAGCUGGGAAGUCAAAGAUCAAGGUGCUGGUGUCUGGUGUGGGCCUUCUUACUGUGUCCUUACAUGUUGGGAGGCAGAAGGGCAAGAGAGCAUGAAAUGGUGUCCUCACAUGGAAGAAAAGCAGAAGAAGGUGAAUGCUGGGCUGGCUUUUACUGCCCGCAUCAUGGGGGGCGCCUCGCCCCCCUCCGAUGGGGGUCCUAAGAGCCAGGGGGGCAAGAGGGGCUGGCUCUUACUGCCCGCAUGGCGGGGGGCGCCUCGCCCCCCUGUGAUGGGGGGUCCUAAGAGCCAGGGGGGCAAGAAGGGCUGGCUCUUACUCCCCGCAUCGCGGGGGGGGGGCCUCGCCCCCCUGCGAUGGGGGUCCUAGAAGCCAGGGGGCAAGAGUGGCUGGUUCUUACUCCCUGCAUCGCGGGGGGCGCCUCGCCCCCCUGCGAUGGGGGGUCCUAAGAGCCAGGGGGGGCCGGGCGCGGUGGCUCACGCCUGUAAUCCCAGCACUUUGGGAGGCCGAGGCGGGUGGAUCAUGAGGUCCGGAGAUCAAGACCACCCUGGCUAACACGGUGGAACCCCGUCUCUACUAAAAAUACAAAAAAUUAGCCCGACGUAGUGGUGGGCGCCUGUAGUCCCAGCUACUCCGGAGGCUGAGGCAGGAGAAUGGCGUGAACCCGGGAGGCGGAGCUUGCAGUGAGCCGAGAUCGCGCCAAUGCACUCCGGCCUGGGCAACAGAGCCAGACUCCGUCUCAAAAAAAAAAAAAAGAGCCAGGGGGGCAAGAGGGGCUGGCUCUUACUCCCCGCAUCGCGGGGGGCGCGGCGCUCCCCUGCGAUUUGUAUCGUAAUAUCCGGGGGGGAGAGGCGGGUGAUAUUACUUCCCGCAUCGCGGCGGGCGCCCUCUCCCCACUGCGAUGUGGCUCUUAAUAUCCAGCGGGGGAGAGAGGGUGAUAUUACUCCCUUUCUCCUAGUAUUUUUUCUCUACUGCCACACUUGGUUAACACCCUGGGACAUUAUUUUCCAUAUUCUAGGAAGGUGUCACUGUUUAAGUUCCAGGGGGUAUACACCCUGUGAUAUUAUUCGUGAUAUUGUAGCGAAAUGUGAAUCCUGAUGUCACAAGUCUCUACACACUCUGAUAUUAUUCGCAAUACCCUAGCGGGACGUUAAUAAUAAUGUCACAAUGUGUGUACAGCUUGUGCUAUUAUUAUUAAUCUCCUAAGGGGAGGUUGAUUUUAUUGUCACACGGAGUAUUUUCCCUUUGGUAUGAUUCGGAAUAUCCUGGAGGGAUGUCACUCCUUAUGUCACAGGGUUCGUACACCUUGUCAAAUUACUCGUAUUACCCUUAUAAGUUAUCACUCCUCAUAUCACCGAGGGUGUACACUCUGUGAUACUAUCGUCAUAUUCUAGGGAAAUGUUGCUUUUUAUGUCACAGAUGUUGCACACCUUGUGAAAUUUUUCGUUAUAGUUUUGUGGGAUGUGACUCCUAACGUCACACGGGGUGUACACACAGUGAUAUUACGUGUAAUAUUCUAUAGAAAUGUUACUCGUAAAUCACAGGUCCUGUACACACUUUAAUAUUCUUCGUCGUAUUCUAGGAAAACGUGACUACUAACGUCACAGGGCGUGUAGACCCUGUCAUAAAAUUCGUAAUAUCCCAGCAGGAGUUCACUACUAAUUUCACAAUGCGUGUACAGCCUUUGAUAUUGUUCGUAUUAUCCUUAAGAGAUGUGACUACUGAUCUCCCAAUGCAUGUACAUUCUCUGAUAUUAUUCGUUAUAUCCUCGGGGGAUAUGACUUCUAAUGUCAUAUGGCGUGUACUCCCUGUGUUCUAUUUCAUAGUAUCCUAGGGCAAUUGUAUUGUUAAUGACACAGGGGGUGUACACAUUGUGAUAUUAUUCAUGAUAUUCUAGAAGGAUGUUACUCCUAAUGUCACGGGGGUGUACACCCUGUGAUAGUAUUCAUAAUUUCCCAGGGGUCUAUAUUCCUAAUGUCACAGAAGAUAACACCCUGUGACAUUAUUUGUAAUAUUCUGAUGAGAUGAUUCUCCUAAUAUCACAGGGGGUGUACACCCUGUGAUAGUAUUCUUACUAUUCUAGGGCGAUGGCACUCUUAAUGUCACAGGUAUGUUCCUUCUGUGAUAUUAUUGAAAAUAUGCUAGCUGGAUACUACUACUAAUGUCACAAUGCGUGUACACCUUGUGAUAUUAUUAGUAAUAUUCUGGGGGGAUGUUACCCCUAACGUUACAGGGGUGUACACCGUGUGAUAUUGCUCCCAAUAUUGUAGGGGGAUGUUACUCCUAAUGUCACAGUGGGUGUACAGCCUUCGAUAUUAUUUGUAAUCUUAUGGAGAGAUAUUACUUUAAUGAUCACAGUGGGUGUACAUACAUGGGCUACAACCACUGGGAUAUUAUUUGUAAUAUCUUAGGGAGAUAUAACUCCUAAUAUCACAGUGGGUGUACCCCAUGUCAUUGUAAACAUUACUUCUAGUAUCCCACAGAGGGUACACCCUGUGAUAUUUUUCAUAAUAUCAUAGGGAGAUAUUGCUUCUAAUAAUACAGUGGGUGUACACCAUGUGUGUACACUCUGUGAUGUGAUAGCUUAUAUCCUAGGGAGAUAUUCCUUCUAAUAUCACAGUGAGUGUGCACCCUGUGAUAUCAUUCGUAAUCUAGAAAGAUGUUGCUGGUAAUAUCACAGAUGGUGUGCCCCCAGUGACAUCAUUCGAAAUAUCCUAGGGAGAUGUUACUCGUAAUGUCACAGGGGUUGUACACCCUGUUAUAUUAUUGUAAUAUUCUAGGGGGGUGUUACUUUUAAAGUCAAAGGGGUGUACACUCUGUGAUGUUAUUCGUAAUAUCAUAGGAAGGGGUUAUUCCUAAUAUCACAUGGGUUAUCCUAGGAAGAGGUUACUCCUAAUAUCACACUCCUCAUAUCACAGCCUGUGAUAGCAUUCGGAAUAUCCAAAAGGGAUGGUACUUUUAAUGUCACAUGGGGUGCACACCCUUUGAUAAUAUUCGUAAGAUCCUAGGGACAUAUGACUUCAAAUAUCACAUUGGGUGUACACACAUGGUGUACACAUUGUGUGUGAACACCUCCAGUGAUAUUAUCCAUAAUAUCCUAGGAAAAUGGGACUCCUAAUAUCACGGUCAGUGGACACCCUGUGAUAUUAUUGGUAAUAUCCUAAAGAGAUGUUACCACUGAGGUCACAAUGUAUGUACGCCCCCUGAUAUUAUUCGUUAUAUCCUCGGGGGAUGUUACUCCUAAUGUCACACGGGGUGUACUCCCUGUGAUAUUAUUCGUAAUAUCCUAGGGGGAUGUUACUUUCAGUGUCACCGGGGGUGUAUAUCAUGCGUAUUCAACGCCUGUGAUACUAUUCCUAAUAUCCUAGGGGCAUGUUCCUCCUAAUGUCACAUGGGGUGAACACCAUAUGUGUACGCCUGCUGUGAUAUUAUUCAUAAUAUCCUAGGGGAAUAUUACUCCUGAUGGCACAGGAGAUGUACACCAUGUGUGUCAACCGCCUGUGUCAUUAUUCGUAAUAUCCUAGGGAGAUGUUUCCUUGAAUGGCACAAAGUGUGCGCAAAAGGUCACAGAAGGUGUGCACCUUGUGAUGUUAUCUGCAAUAGAUCACACAGCGGGCGCCUACGAUCGGCUUAAUCAUCAUUCACUUCCAUCGGAUCAACUGGAAAUCAAGUCAGGUGAGAGUGCUGAGUCUCAGAGGAUGGACGUCUCACCCCUUGCCAUACAGAGAAGUAGAAAGGGUGGUAUUCAAAAUUCAUGGCCAGACUCGAAGUCCCGGGUACUAUACUUCCUGGUCUUCCAACUCUCAAAAAGUUGUGGGUUUUUUUUUGUUUUUGUUUUUGUUUUUGUUGUUUUGAGAUGGAGUCUCAUUCCAUUGCCCAGGCUGGAGUGCAAUGGAGUGAUCUCUGCUCACUGCAACCUCUGCAUCCCAGGUUCAAGCUAUUCUCCUGCCUCAGCCUGCCAAGUAGCUGAGAUGACAGGCGCCCGCCACUACGCCUGGCUCAUUUUUUUCUAUUUUGAGUAGAGACGUGGUUUGGUCUCGAAUUCCUGACCUUGUGAUUCGCCUGCCUCAGCCUCCCAAAGGGCUGGGAUUACAGGCAUGAGCCACGGCUCCCAGCUUCCAAAAGUUUUAAGCAGAGCUCAGAGGUCUUAACCACAGGCACAUCGGAGGAGCAUUUUUGAAACGCUUUCCAGCUUCCUCAAUAGGAAUGGAAGCCAAACUGAAUUGAUGACUCCUUUGAGGAAGUCGAGAGCUGUAAGGAAAGCCAGGAACAGGGGCAAGGGAGAGAUGCGCCCCGAAUGAUCCUGUGCCAAUUCUUUCUGGAAUCCUCGAUGUGAUCUCAGCUGCCCUUUCUAUACUUGACACAGUGAUUGUGGCACCCACUGGUCUAGCUCUGGUCUACAAGGAACGCGCAAAGGGAAGGGCACAGUGAGCAGGGGCAUCCGCCUGAGUGAUGAGGAUUUGAGAGGGCAGGUUGGUUGUAGGGAGAGGACUGGCCAAAUGCCAUGUGUCUGGACUUAGACUGGAUGGUUCAAAUUGGACUUCACCCUUUUUGACUUCAUGAUCUAGUAAGAGUUAUAUGGAAAAGCGUUGCUCCUUUUCUAGUCUGUAAAAUCAUCCUGAAAUGUGCACUAAUAACGUGGAGACCAUGCAGAUGAAAUGAAACAAGCUGCAUAGAGCACAGAGCUCAGAGCCUGGCCUUUAGGAAGCCCUCAGUAACCCAAACAUCUCAGUGGAGUAAAGAAUAACAAGGCAGCAUUGCUGCAAACAUGUCUCACCUCCCACCAUAGGCCGGUUUUUCCCCCAUCUCAGAAUUGAACAAAUGUACAAUCGGGUUUUAUACUGAGACAUUCAGUUCCCAGGGGCAGGCAGGAGACAGUGGCCUUCCUCUCCCUCAACUGCAAGCGGCUUUCCUCUUUGACUAAUCCACCUCAGCACAGACCCUUUAUGGGUGUCGGGCUCGGGGACGGUCAGGUCUUUCUCAUCCCACGAGGCCACUUUUCAGACUAUCACAUGGGGAGAAACCUUGGACAAUAAACGGCUUUCAAGGGCAGGGCUCCCUGCAGCUUUCCACAGUGUAUCGUGCCCCUGGUUUAUUGAGACUAGAGAAUGGCGAUGACUUUUACCAAGUAUACUGCUUGGAAACAUCUUGUUAACAAGGCAUGUCCUGCACAGUCCUAGAUCCCUUAAACCUUGAUUUCCUACAACACAUGUUUUUGUGAGCUUCAGGUUGGGUCAAAGUGGCUGGGGCAAAGCUACACAUUAACAACAUCUCAGCAAAGCAAUUGUUGAAAGUACAGGUCUUUUUCAAAAUGGAGUCUCUUAUGUCUUUCCUUUCUACAUAGACACAGUAACAGUCUGAUCGCUCUUUCUUUUGCCUACACUCACUGAACUGCCCUUCCCCUUUGCUGGGCCAUGACCACGGGGAACAGGUCCACUGUCCUCCCUGCGUGGUGCACGAUGGAUGCUCAGACUCCAUCCUCAAGGCUGGCAAGAAGACACGUUGAGACAUGUGCCUCCUGAUACAGGUGAUGGCUGUGGAGCCCACAGGACUGGAACCUCACACUGCAGGGCUGGAGGCACAGGCCAUUUACUGUUCUGUGCCCUGGGGGGCUCAAGGCACAGAGCUCCUCAUUAGCCAAAGUCACCCAAGUUCCCCAACCUCUUAAAGAUUUCCUCAUCAUCAUGCAAGAAGAAGAGAAAAGUGAGUGUCCAUAGAAGCUUUGGGGCUCUUCCUCUAAUCAGGAGAAAGCUGGUGUGUAUUCUUCGCUUCUUUCUUUGCUUUUUAAAGAUCCAACUGCUUUAAUUUUCAUCUUUUAUUAUGGGAAAAUAUACCACGUAUAAAUAUUAAAAAUUAUAAAUAUAUAUUAGUGCAUAUAGAAUGGCCAGUAUAAACAUUUACAGUUUCCACUCUUUUUCAGUUUACAGUUUAAUGACAUUAAGUAUGUUCACAUUGUUUAGCAACCAUCACCGCCAUCAUCUCCGGAACAGUUUUAUUUUUCAAAAUGGAAAUUGCAACCAUUCGCCAAGCUCUCCACUCCUCUCUCUCGCCUACCCCUGGGGGCCACCUUUCUAGUUUGCAACUCUAGGAGUCUAACUACUCUAGACACUUGAUAGAUAAGUGGAAUCAUACCGUGUUUAAUUUUUUUUUUUAGAGGUAGAAUCUUUCUCUGUCACCCAGGCUGGAGUGCAGUGGCGUGAUCUCGGCUCACUGCAACUUCCACUUCGGGGGCUCAAGCAAUUCUUAUGUCUCAGUCUCCCGAGUAGCUGGGAUUACAGGCGUGCGCUAUCAUGCCCAGCUAAUUUUUGUAUUUUUAAUAGAGACGAGCUUUCACCAUAUUGGCCAGGCUGGUCUCGAACUCCUGAGCUUAAGGGAUCCACCUGUCUCAGCCUCCCAAAAUGCUGGGGUUACAGGUGUGAGCCACUGAGCCUGGGCAUGUUUAUCCUUUUGGGAUUUAUUUAUUUCACUGACGAUAAUGUCUUCAAGGUUCAUCCAUGUUGCGGCCUGCAUCAGAAGUGCCUGUUUGUUUUUGUUGUUUUUUUUUGUUUGGUUUUAUUUUGUUUUGUUUUGCGUUUUCAUGGAGUCUUACUCUGUCGCACCGGCUGGAGUGCAGUGGCACAAUCUGGGCUCACUACAACCUCCGCCUCCCGGGUUCGAGCGAUUCUUGUGCCUCAGCUUCCUGAGUAGCUGAGAUUAGAGGUGCAUGCCACCACACCAGCUAAUUUUUGUAUUUUUAGUAGAGAUGGGGUUUGCCAUGUUGGCCAAGCUGGUCUUGAACUCGUGAGCUCAGGUGAUCCACACGCCUCAACUUCCCAAAGUGUUAGGAUUACAGACGUUAGCCACUGUGCCCAGCCCAAGGAUGUGUAUAUUUUCUAUAGAGUUUUGAUGAUAAUACUUUGACAGCAAAUAUAUUGUGACUAUAUAUAUAUAGUCACAGGUGCCCAGGCCGGAGUGCAGUGGCGUGAUCUCGGCUCGCUACAACCACCACCUCCUAGCAGCCUGCCUUGGCCUUCCAAAGUGCUGAGAUUGCAGCCUCUGCCCAGCCGCCACCCCGUCUGGGAAGUGAGGAGCGUCUCUGCCUGGCCGCCCAUCGUCUGGGAUGUGAGGAGCCCCUCCGCCCAGCAGCCGCCCCGUCUGAGAAGUGAGGAGCCCCUCAGCCCGGCAGCCACCCCAUCUGAGAAGUGAGGAGCCCCUCCACCUGGCAGCCACCCCGUCUGGGAGGUCUUGUGAAAUUCCUUCUCCUGGCUCAUCCUGGCUCAAAACCUCCCCCACUGAGUACCUUGUGACCCCCAUUCUGCCCGCCAGAGAACAACCCCCCUUUAACUGUAAUUUUCCUUUACCUACCCAAAUCCUAUAAAAUGGCCCUACCCCUAUCUCCCUUCUCUGACUCUCUUUUCACUCAGCCUGCCUGCACCCAUGUGAAAUAAACAGCUUUAUUGCUCACACAAAGCCUGUUUGGUGGUAUCUUCACACGGACGCGCAUGAAACUGGAGUCCUCACGCCCACCAGCCCAGAGUGCUCUCUAGAGGAAGGCUACAGACACCUCCUGGCUCACUCAUCCAGACGUUAGCUGUCUUGCUGAAACUCCUUUUUUCACCCUUGAAAACCACUGGAAGAAUGACCAAGAACCCAGCUAUCCUGAGUCUAGAUGAAAAAAAUGACAAGGCUCUGGAGAAGCAGAACCACAAGAUGGAGGAUACCUGGGUCCCAGGUUCAUGAGGAGAGGAGCUGCCUGCUCCACAGACUGGCACGGCUGUGACCGUCUAUGACAAGCCAGCAUCUUUCUUUCAAGAGACCUCUGGACCUGCAGCACCAACUCUUCAUGAAGCUGGGCGGCACGCACUCUCCGUUCAGGGCCUGAACCUGAGGACCCAGACACGGAGCGGUCGGCCUUCAUGGAGCGGGAUGCUGGGAGCGGGCUGGUGAUGCGCCUCCGCGAGCGGCCAGCCCUGCUGGUCAGCAGCACAGGCUGGACAGAGGACGAAGACUUCUCCAUCUGCUGGCAGCUUUAGAAAGUAGGUAGUUUGAACAACUGACUCUUGAUGGACACAACCUUCCUUCUCUCGUCUGUGUGAUAACAGGCAAAGGGCCUCCGAGGGAGUAUUACAGCCGCCUCAUCCACCAGAAGCAUUUCCAGCACAUCCAGGUCUGCACCCCUUGGCUGGAGGCCGAGGACUACCCCCGCUUCUAGCAGCAGGGUCGGUGGAUCUGGGUGUCUGUCUGCACACGUCCUGCAGUGGCCUGGACCUGCCCAUGAAGGUGGUGGACAUGUUCGGGUGCUGUUUGCCUGUGUGUGCCGUGAACUUCAAGUGGCAGGAGCAGAACCCGAAUCUUUCUGGGGAUAGCUUCACAGAUCCACCGCUGAGGAGGAAACAGUGCAGAGCGAGCUGCCCACAGUGAGGCCCUGCUCCUGGUUUACAUGAGCUGGUGAAACAUGAAGAAAAUGGCCUGGUCUUUGAGGACUCAGAGGAACUGGCAGCUCAGCUGCAGGUGCUUUUCUCAAACUUUCCUGAUCCUGCGGGCAAGCUAAACCAGUUCCGGAAGAACCUGCGGGAGUCGCAGCAGCUCCGAUGGGAUUAGAGCUGGGUGCAGACUGUGCUCCCUUUGGUUAUGGACACAUAACUCCUGGGCCAGAGGCUAAAACCCCGGGACCCCUGCUGUCCUUCCCACAGCUUCUUCUCAGAGUCUCAGGGCAAAUCCUUUCGAGCAGCGCCUCCCAGUGGCCAGAAGCUGAAAUGAUGGCAGUAGUGCCACCUGGUGAAUGAAUUGGUUCUGUGACCCGGGAAGCUGUGCUUGGCUCUGAUUUCUUUUCUGGAGGCUCGGAAACACUUCCUCUCUUCUUCUGUUCUUCACGCCCCAUGCCCCUGCUAGCGUAUUACUGUUCUGUGACUUCCCUGUGACCUCUGCAGUACUCCUCAUCCUGCGUUUGGUCUCCAGGUGUCACCUUUCUGCCGUGUUCCUAACAUUUUGAUUCCUGUCUUGAAAAAAGCACCUGCUGCACCAUAAGCCCAGGGAUGUGGCAGCUGCAGCGGGCUUGGCUUUGUGAAGAACCGAGUGUGUCCAGGGAUGUGGCAGCUGCAGCAUCGAGUGUGUCCACCGAUGUGGCAGCUGCAGCGGGCUUGGCUUUGUGAAGAACCGAGUGUGUCCACCGAUGUGACAGCUGCAGCGGGCUUGGCUUUGUGAAGAACCGAGUGUGUCCACCGAUGUGGCAGCUGCAGCGGGCUUGGCUUUGUGAGGAACCGAGUGUGUCCAGGGAUGUGGCAGCUGCAGCGGGCUUGGCUUUGUGAGGAACCGAGUGUGUCCAGGGAUGUGGCAGCUGCAGCGGGCUUGGCUUUGUGAAGAACCGAGUGUGUCCAGGGAUGUGGCAGCUGCAGC